CCCGCUGAACUUAAGCAUAUCAAUAAGCGGAGGAAAAGAAACUAACAAGGAUUCCCCUAGUAACUGCGAGUGAAGCGGGAAGAGCUCAAAUUUGAAAUCUGGCGGUCCCUUGGGCUGUCCGAGUUGUAAUCUAGAGAAGUGUACCUGUGCUGGACCGUGUACAAGUCUCCUGGAAUGGAGCAUCACAGAGGGUGAGAAUCCCGUCUUUGACAUGGACUGCCUGUGCGAUAUGGUGCGCUCUCGAAGAGUCGAGUUGUUUGGGAAUGCAGCUCAAAAUGGGUGGUAAAUGCCAUCUAAAGCUAAAUACUGGCGAGAGACCGAUAGCGAACAAGUACCGUGAGGGAAAGAUGAAAAGAACUUUGGAAAGAGAGUUAAACAGUACGUGAAAUUGCUGAAAGGGAAACGCUUGAAGUCAGUCGCGUCGGCUGGAAAUCAGUCUUGCUUCUGCUUGACGUACUUUCUGGUUCGACGGGUCAGCAUCAGUUUUGACCGCCGGAUAAAGUCGUUGGGAAUGUGGCAUCUUCAUGAUGUGUUAUAGCCCGUCGUCGCAUACGGUGGUCGGGAUUGAGGAACUCAGCACGCCGCGAGGCCGGGUCGUUUCUGCGAUCACGUUCGUGCUUAGGAUGCUGGCAUAAUGGCUUUAAUCGACCCGUCUUGAAACACGG
Molecule: ribosomal RNA, 665 nt
Filed under: uncultured fungus
Lineage: Eukaryota; Fungi
Description: eukaryotic LSU rRNA
Rfam family: Eukaryotic large subunit ribosomal RNA
Source: RNAcentral